CCUACGGGUGGCAGCAGUGAGGAAUAUUGGUCAAUGGGCGAGAGCCUGAACCAGCCAAGUCGCGUGAAGGAUGAAGGAUCUAUGGAUUGUAAACUUCUUUUAUAUGGGAAUAAAGUGAGGAACGUGUUCCUUUUUGUAUGUACCUUAUGAAUAAGCAUCGGCUAACUCCGUGCCAGCAGCCGCGGUAAUACGGAGGAUGCGAGCGUUAUCCGGAUUUAUUGGGUUUAAAGGGUGCGUAGGUGGUUAAUUAAGUCAGCGGUGAAAGUUUGUGGCUCAACCAUAAAAUUGCCGUUGAAACUGGGGGACUUGAGUAUGUUUGAGGUAGGCGGAAUGCGUGGUGUAGCGGUGAAAUGCAUAGAUAUCACGCAGAACUCCGAUUGCGAAGGCAGCUUACCAAGCUAUAACUGACACUGAAGCACGAAAGCGUGGGGAUCAAACAGGAUUAGAUACCCCAGUAGUC
Molecule: ribosomal RNA, 460 nt
Filed under: uncultured bacterium
Lineage: Bacteria
Description: partial 16S ribosomal RNA
Rfam family: Bacterial small subunit ribosomal RNA
Source: RNAcentral